GAUGAACGCUGGCGGCGUGCCUAAUACAUGCAAGUCGAGCGAACAGACGAGGAGCUUGCUCCUCUGACGUUAGCGGCGGACGGGUGAGUAACACGUGGAUAACCUACCUAUAAGACUGGGAUAACUUCGGGAAACCGGAGCUAAUACCGGAUAAUAUAUUGAACCGCAUGGUUCAAUAGUGAAAGACGGUUUUGCUGUCACUUAUAGAUGGAUCCGCGCCGCAUUAGCUAGUUGGUAAGGUAACGGCUUACCAAGGCAACGAUGCGUAGCCGACCUGAGAUGGUGAUCGGCCACACUGGAACUGAGACACGGUCCAGACUCCUACGGGAGGCAGCAGUAGGGAAUCUUCCGCAAUGGGCGAAAGCCUGACGGAGCAACGCCGCGUGAGUGAUGAAGGUCUUCGGAUCGUAAAACUCUGUUAUUAGGGAAGAACAAAUGUGUAAGUAACUAUGCACGUCUUGACGGUACCUAAUCAGAAAGCAACGGCUAACUACGUG
This 497-nucleotide ribosomal RNA is filed under the name uncultured bacterium. RNAcentral describes it as "partial 16S ribosomal RNA". It matches the Rfam family "Bacterial small subunit ribosomal RNA", at positions 28 to 507 of the family's 1533-position model. The record is from RNAcentral.